Molecule: long non-coding RNA, 222 nt
Filed under: Nicotiana benthamiana
Lineage: Eukaryota; Viridiplantae; Streptophyta; Magnoliopsida; Solanales; Solanaceae
Description: long non-coding RNA (NBEN_LNC003959)
Source: RNAcentral
AACCCUACUAUGAAAGCAGGAGGUCCUAACUUUUGGUAUACUAGUAUUUAUCAAUGUUUAGAUCUUUCACCAGAAGAAAUGGCUACACUAUUUGAUGCGAAAGCAUCAAUUACAGUGAAUGCUCAAACUAUUUAUAAUUCUUAUAAACAGGCCUUAGACAUGCUAGGCCUAAUAUUCCAACUCCUACUUCGUCCACGUCACAAUCGUCUAAAAGAGUUGCUN